RNAcentral lists this non-coding RNA (139 nucleotides) under Lachnotalea glycerini. The record is from RNAcentral. Lineage: Bacteria; Bacillati; Bacillota; Clostridia; Lachnospirales; Lachnospiraceae.
CUGCCGGUGUAAGUCCGGUCACGGUAAUCGCCAGUGAGCCGUGUAGCUAAAUCCGGUGCGUUACAGUAAUGUAGGGUGCUAAGCGGAUGGAUAAAGUCGCACCAUAGACGAUUUAAUUGAAGUUAUCUGCAUGACAUAA